GACGAACGCUGGCGGCGUGCUUAACACAUGCAAGUCGAACGCUGAAGCUCAGCUUUUGUUGGGUGGAUGAGUGGCGAACGGGUGAGUAACACGUGAGUAACCUGCCCCCUUCUUUGGGAUAACGCCCGGAAACGGGUGCUAAUACUGGAUAUUCACUGGUCUUCGCAUGGGGGUUGGUGGAAAGGGUUUUUCUGGUGGGGGAUGGGCGCGCGGCCUAUCAGCUUGUUGGUGGGGUGAUGGCCUACCAAGGCUUUGACGGGUAGCCGGCCUGAGAGGGUGACCGGUCACAUUGGGACUGAGAUACGGCCCAGACUCCUACGGGAGGCAGCAGUGGGGAAUAUUGCACAAUGGGCGCAAGCCUAAUGCAGCGACGCCGCGUGAGGGAUGGAGGCCUUCGGGUUGUGAACCUCUUUCGCUCAUGGUCAAGCCGCAACAAUGGUUGUGGUGAGGGUAGUGGGUAAAGAAGCGCCGGCUAACUACGUG
Molecule: ribosomal RNA, 483 nt
Filed under: uncultured bacterium
Lineage: Bacteria
Description: partial 16S ribosomal RNA
Rfam family: Bacterial small subunit ribosomal RNA
Source: RNAcentral